Argiope bruennichi is the source of this 83-nucleotide non-coding RNA. NCBI's taxonomy places the organism in Eukaryota, Metazoa, Arthropoda, Arachnida, Araneae, Araneidae. The record is from the annotation of a RefSeq genome assembly.
GGUAGCGUGGCCGAGUGGUCUAAGGGCGCUGGUUUUAGGCGCCAGUCCUUAUUAGGGCGUGGGUUCGAAUCCCACCGCUGCCA